Molecule: long non-coding RNA, 361 nt
Filed under: Ananas comosus (pineapple)
Lineage: Eukaryota; Viridiplantae; Streptophyta; Magnoliopsida; Poales; Bromeliaceae
Description: long non-coding RNA (ACOM_LNC043758)
Source: RNAcentral
UUUGCACGGCGUCGCGCAAGUACAAGAUACAUAACAAAAUACAACCACCAUACAGAAUAUAUAAGCAUUCGACCAUUCAUACAUUCAUACACUAUUCACCACAGGUUCAUAUACAGAGUUUAAACAUAAAACCACAACUAUUAGUUUAAAACGUUUCCUACCCAGAAACUUGUUUUGAAAAACUAAAUCAUAAAACCACGUGAAAACCUUUAUUCUUUUAAAAACUCGCUACCACGAGGGGUAGAAAACCAUUUCCAAUAUUUUACAUAAAAACCACGUGUUUUAAUUAACUUCACCAAAACCAUGUAUAUAUAUCCAACUGAAGUAAAAUCAACUGAACCAUAAACCAUCUAAGAUAAAU